AGAAAGAUACAGGAGAAGAGUGUGAGACAGGUAAGGGAAGAGAGUGUGAGACAGGUAAGGGAAGAGAGUGUGAGACAGGUAAAGGAAGAGAGUGUGAGACAGGUAAAGGAAGAGAGUGUGAGACAGAUAAAGGAAGAGACUGUGAGACAGAUAAAGGCAGAGACUGUGAGACAGAUAAGGGAAGAGAGUGUGAGACAGAUAAAGGAAGAGAGUGUGAGACAGGUAAAGGAAGAGUGUGAGACAGGUAAGGGAAGAGAGUGUGAGACAGGUAAGGGAAGAGAGUGUGAGACAGGUAAAGGAAGAGAGUGUGAGACAGAUAAAGGAAGAGAGUGUGAGACAGAUAAAGGAAGAGACUGUGAGACAGAUAAAGGCAGAGACUGUGAGACAGAUAAGGGAAGAGAGUGUGAGACAGAUAAGGGAAAAGAGUGUGAGACAGAUAAAGGAAGAGUGUGUGAGACAGGUAAAGGAAGAGAGUGUGAGACAGGUAAAGGAAGAGAGUGUGAGACAGGUAAAUGAAGAGAGUGUGAGACAGGUAAAGGAAGAGAGUGUGACAGAUAAAGGAAGAGAG
Molecule: long non-coding RNA, 568 nt
Organism: Astyanax mexicanus (Mexican tetra)
Lineage: Eukaryota; Metazoa; Chordata; Actinopteri; Characiformes; Acestrorhamphidae
Exons: 3
Source: RefSeq, a predicted model, not a curated record